CCUAAUACUCCACCCUUUGUUUACAUUACCUUUGUUGCUUUGGCAGGCCCGUCCUUGUGACCACUGGCUUCGGCUGGUCCGCGCCUGCCAGAGAACCUAAAACUCUUGUUUAAUCAUAUUGUCUGAGUACUAUAUAAUAGUUAAAACUUUCAACAACGGAUCUCUUGGUUCUGGCAUCGAUGAAGAACGCAGCGAAAUGCGAUAAGUAAUGUGAAUUGCAGAAUUCAGUGAAUCAUCGAAUCUUUGAACGCACAUUGCGCCCUCUGGUAUUCCGGGGGGCAUGCCUGUUCGAGCGUCAUUACAACCCUCAAGCUCUGCUUGGUAUUAGGCCUCGCCCGUUAGGGCGGGCUGUAAAAUCAGUGGCGGUGCCAUUCGGCUUCAAGCGUAGUAAUUUUUCUCGCUUUGGAGUACCGGGUGUGUGCCUGCCAGCAACCCCAAAUUUUAUCAAAGGUUGACCUCGGAUCAGGUAGGGAUACCCGCUGAACUUAAGCAUAUCAAAA
RNAcentral lists this ribosomal RNA (500 nucleotides) under Helotiales sp. I12F-02296. RNAcentral describes it as "eukaryotic LSU rRNA". The stretch from base 145 to 298 matches the Rfam family "5.8S ribosomal RNA". Lineage: Eukaryota; Fungi; Ascomycota; Leotiomycetes; Helotiales. The record is from RNAcentral.